Molecule: ribosomal RNA, 253 nt
Filed under: uncultured bacterium
Lineage: Bacteria
Description: partial 16S ribosomal RNA
Rfam family: Bacterial small subunit ribosomal RNA
Source: RNAcentral
UACGUAGGGGGCAAGCGUUAUCCGGAUUUACUGGGUGUAAAGGGAGCGUAGACGGCAUGGCAAGUCAGAUGUGAAAGCCCGGGGCUCAACCCCGGGACUGCAUUUGAAACUGUCAGGCUGGAGUGCAGGAGAGGUAAGCGGAAUUCCUAGUGUAGCGGUGAAAUGCGUAGAUAUUAGGAGGAACACCAGUGGCGAAGGCGGCUUACUGGACUGUAACUGACGUUGAGGCUCGAAAGCGUGGGGAGCGAACAGG